AGGACGAACGCUGGCGGCGUGCUUAACACAUGCAAGUCGAGCGGUAAGGCCUUUCGGGGUACACGAGCGGCGAACGGGUGAGUAACACGUGGGUGAUCUGCCCUGCACUUCGGGAUAAGCCUGGGAAACUGGGUCUAAUACCGGAUAUGACCUCCUAUCGCAUGGUGGGUGGUGGAAAGAUUUAUCGGUGCAGGAUGGGCCCGCGGCCUAUCAGCUUGUUGGUGGGGUAAUGGCCUACCAAGGCGACGACGGGUAGCCGACCUGAGAGGGUGACCGGCCACACUGGGACUGAGACACGGCCCAGACUCCUACGGGAGGCAGCAGUGGGGAAUAUUGCACAAUGGGCGAAAGCCUGAUGCAGCGACGCCGCGUGAGGAUGACGGCCUUCGGGUUGUAAACCUCUUUCAGCAGGACGAAGCGCAAGUGACGGUACCUGCAGAAGAGCACCGGCUAACUACGUGCCAGCAGCCG
RNAcentral lists this ribosomal RNA (471 nucleotides) under uncultured soil bacterium. Its description in RNAcentral is "bacterial SSU rRNA". It matches the Rfam family "Bacterial small subunit ribosomal RNA", at positions 26 to 517 of the family's 1533-position model. The record is from RNAcentral.